Molecule: ribosomal RNA, 465 nt
Filed under: Vreelandella stevensii
Lineage: Bacteria; Pseudomonadati; Pseudomonadota; Gammaproteobacteria; Oceanospirillales; Halomonadaceae
Description: partial 16S ribosomal RNA
Rfam family: Bacterial small subunit ribosomal RNA
Source: RNAcentral
CCUACGGGCUGCAGCAGUGGGGAAUAUUGGACAAUGGGCGAAAGCCUGAUCCAGCCAUGCCGCGUGUGUGAAGAAGGCCUUCGGGUUGUAAAGCACUUUCAGUGGGGAAGAAAGCCUUGGGGCUAAUACCCUCGAGGAAGGACAUCACCCACAGAAGAAGCACCGGCUAACUCCGUGCCAGCAGCCGCGGUAAUACGGAGGGUGCGAGCGUUAAUCGGAAUUACUGGGCGUAAAGCGCGCGUAGGCGGUCUGAUAAGCCGGUUGUGAAAGCCCCGGGCUCAACCUGGGAACGGCAUCCGGAACUGUCAGGCUAGAGUGCAGGAGAGGAAGGUAGAGUUCCCGGUGUAGCGGUGAAAUGCGUAGAGAUCGGGAGGAAUACCAGUGGCGAAGGCGGCCUUCUGGACUGACACUGACGCUGAGGUGCGAAAGCGUGGGUAGCAAACAGGAUUAGAUACCCUUGUAGUC